This 434-nucleotide ribosomal RNA is filed under the name uncultured bacterium. Its description in RNAcentral is "bacterial SSU rRNA". It matches the Rfam family "Bacterial small subunit ribosomal RNA", at positions 30 to 469 of the family's 1533-position model. The record is from RNAcentral.
AUUGAACGCUGGCGGCAUGCCUUACACAUGCAAGUCGAACGGCAGCACGGGGGCAACCCUGGUGGCGAGUGGCGAACGGGUGAGUAAUACAUCGGAAUGUACCCAGUAGUGGGGGAUAACUAGUCGAAAGAUUAGCUAAUACCGCAUACGCACUAUGGUGGAAAGCGGGGGAUCGCAAGACCUCGCGCUAUUGGAGCAGCCGAUGUCCGAUUAGGUAGUUGGUGGGGUAAAAGCCUACCAAGCCUGCGAUCGGUAACUGGUCUGAGAGGACGACCAGUCACACUGGGACUGAGACACGGCCCAGACUCCUACGGGAGGCAGCAGUGGGGAAUUUUGGACAAUGGGGGAAACCCUGAUCCAGCAAUGCCGCGUGUGUGACGAAGGCCUCGGUUGUAAGCACUUUGUGGACGAACGACGCUUCUAAUACAGAGUGC